Non-coding RNA from Dermacentor albipictus, 516 nucleotides. The record is from RefSeq and is a predicted model, not a curated record. NCBI's taxonomy places the organism in Eukaryota, Metazoa, Arthropoda, Arachnida, Ixodida, Ixodidae.
AUGCGGCUAAUUCUUCUGGCGGGUCCUUUCGAAGGCUUUGGGAAACCCCAAAUUAUUUGUAAGUCCGGAGGACAGAAACCUUUCACGUGCCUGGAACGAACCCUGGCUCUGAACAUGCAAAGCGCUAUCGUCGAAGUCAAGGCGUCCGGGUCAUUCGGUUACUAAAGGCGUGCACGUUACACGGUGUCCCGACAGAAAAGUAGCGAGCGCAGUGUUUGAUGACUUGGCCCUGACCAGUGACACGGUCGAAAACCAGCGCAUGGACUCGGCUUCUCAAACAGACAGCGUGGUCGGCUGUGCCAGCUGUGCAAAAGUACAGACGUUGAAGCGCCAGCUUCGAGCCGCGAAAGCGCAGCUUCAAUAAUGUCAAGCGAAACUUGCCGAAUUCCGAGCGCAGAGGGCCAAGUACAAACGGCAACACCACAGCCUUCAAAGCCUUACAGAGCGCGAGAAAUUGAUUAUUGGUGAACAUGUGAAGAAUUCGAGCGCAAAGUCUGCACGGGCUCUGCGGUAAUC